RNAcentral lists this ribosomal RNA (441 nucleotides) under uncultured bacterium. RNAcentral's name for it is "partial 16S ribosomal RNA". It matches the Rfam family "Bacterial small subunit ribosomal RNA", at positions 338 to 795 of the family's 1533-position model. The record is from RNAcentral.
CCUACGCGUGGCUGCAGUGGGGGAUAUUGCACAAUGUGGGGAACCCUGAUGCAGCGACGCCGCGUGGGUGAAGGAGUAUUUCGGUAUGUAAAGCCCUAUCGGCAGGGAAGAAUUUAGACGGUACCUGACUAAGACGCCCCGGCUAACUACGGGCCAGCAGCCGCGGUACUACGUAGGGGGCAAGCAUUAUCCGGAUGCACUGGGUGUAAAGGGCGCGUAGACGGCCAGGCAAGCCUGGAGGGAAAGCCCGGGGCCCAACCCCGGGACUGCUCUGGGAACUGUCCGGCUGGAGUGCGGGAGGGGCAGGCGGAAUUCCUGGUGUAGCGGUGAAAUGCGGAGAGAUCAGGAGGAAGACCGGCGGCGAAGGCGGCCUGCUGGACCGCGACUGACGUUGAGGCUCGAAAGCGUGGGGAGCGAACAGGAUUAGAUACCCCAGGAGUC